GGGUAACAUGGGUAGCAAUACCUGAUGACGACCGGCAAACGGGUGCGGAACACGUACAGAACCUUUCUUCGAGCGGGGAAUAGCCCAGAGAAAUUUGGAUUAAUACCCCAUAGUAUAUUGGAAAGGCAUCUUUUUAAUAUUAAAGAUUUAUUACUUGAAGAUGGCUGUGCGGCUGAUUAGGUAGUUGGCGGGGUAACGGCCCACCAAGCCUGCGAUCAGUAAUUGGUGUGAGAGUAUGAUUAGUCACACGGGCACUGAGACACGGGCCCGACUCCUACGGGAGGCAGCAGUAAGGAAUAUUGGUCAAUGGACGAAAGUCUGAACCAGCCAUGCCGCGUGGAGGAUGAAGGCCCUCUGGGUUGUAAACUUCUUUUAUCUGGGACGAAAAAGGGCCUUUCUAGGUCAACUGACGGUACCAGAUGAAUAAGCACCGGUUAACUCCGUGUUAGUAGUCGUGGUAAUACGGAGGGUGCAAGCGUUAUCCGGAUUCACUGGGUUUAAAGGGUGCGUAGGUGGGUUGGUAAGUCAGUGGUGAAAUCCCCGAGUUUAACUUGGGAACUGCCAUUGAUACUAUCAGUCUUGAAUAUUGUGGAGGUCAGCGGAAUAUGUCAUGUAGCGGUGAAAUGCUUAGAUAUGACAUAGAACAUUAAUUGUGAAGGUAGCUGGCUACGCAUAUAUUGACACUGAGGCACGAAAGCGUGGGGAUUAAAUAGGAUUAGAUAUCCUGGUAGUCCACGCCCUAAACUAUGGAUACUCGACAUACGCGAUAUACUGUGUGUGUCUGAGCGAAAGCAUUAAGUAUCCCACCUGGGAAGUACGAUCGCAAGAUUGAAACUCAAAGGAAUUGGCGGGGGUCCGCACAAGCGGUGGAGCAUGUGGUUUAAUUCGACGAUAUGCGAGGAAUUUUACCUGGGCUAGAAUGCUGGGAGACCGUGGGUGAAAGCUCAUUUUGUAGUAAUACACUCCCAGUAAGGUGCUGCAUGGCUGUCGUCAGCUCGUGCCGUGAGGUGUUGGGUUAAGUCCCGCAACGAGCGCAACCCCCAUCACUAGUUGCCAUCAGGUAACGCUGGGAACUCUAGUGAAACUGCCGUCGUAAGACGUGAGGAAGGAGGGGAUGAUGUCAAGUCAUCAUGGCCUUUAUGCCCAGGGUUACACACGUGCUACGAUGGGGCGUAUAAAGGGUUGCAACAUAGUGAUAUGAAGCAAAUCCCAAAAAACGUCUCUCAGUUUAGAUUGGAGUCUGUAAUUUGACUCCAUGAAGCUGGAAUCGCUAGUAAUCGUAUAUCAGUAAUGAUACGGUGAAUAUGUUUCCGGACCUUGUAUAUAUCGCCCGUUAAGCCAUGGAAGCCGGGUGUACCUAAAGUCGGUAACCGUAAGGAGCCGCCUAGGGUAAAACUGGUGACUGGGGCUAAGUUGUAAUAAGGUA
Molecule: ribosomal RNA, 1426 nt
Filed under: metagenome
Description: bacterial SSU rRNA
Rfam family: Bacterial small subunit ribosomal RNA
Source: RNAcentral